This 253-nucleotide ribosomal RNA is filed under the name uncultured bacterium. RNAcentral's name for it is "partial 16S ribosomal RNA". It matches the Rfam family "Bacterial small subunit ribosomal RNA", at positions 524 to 776 of the family's 1533-position model. The record is from RNAcentral.
UACGAAGGGGGCGAGCGUUGUUCGGAAUUACUGGGCGUAAAGGGUCUGUAGGUGGCUUGCUAAGUCAGACGUGAAAUCCCUCAGCUUAACUGGGGAACUGCGUCUGAUACUGGCAAGCUUGAGUGCAGGAGAGGAACGCGGAAUUCCAGGUGUAGCGGUGAAAUGCGUAGAUAUCUGGAGGAACACCGGUGGCGAAGGCGGCGUUCUGGACUGCAACUGACACUGAGAGACGAAAGCCAGGGGAGCAAACGGG